This 1267-nucleotide long non-coding RNA is filed under the name Equus caballus (horse). RNAcentral's name for it is "lncRNA (ENSECAG00000054134.1)". The record is from RNAcentral. Lineage: Eukaryota; Metazoa; Chordata; Mammalia; Perissodactyla; Equidae.
CCCCUCCCCUCCCCAGCUUCUUCCCCCCUAUUUUCCCCUCCCUCUCCCUCCACCUCCCCUCUCUGUUCGCUCCUCUCUUCUCUCCAUUCCACUCCUUCCCCGGCUUUUGUUUUUAGUGUUGAAAAGCGUAGUCUUCUUCCCAAACUCUCUAUCUCUUCUCCCUCCUUCUUUCCUUUGAGGGGUGGCUCUGACCUUUCUUUUCACCUCCAGCCCCACAGGACACACAAGUGGUGAGAAGAAAGGCCGUGGCUCCGCGGCCAGGACAAGGGCUACCUGCAGCCUCGGUCCGUCACUGGGGCGGCCACUGGUCCAGAGCCGGCCCUUUGAAGUAGACAUUCUUCUCAUCUCUGUUUUACAAAGGAAGAAACGGAGACACAGAGACAUUAAGCAACUUGCCCAAGGCCACACAGCCAGAGUGGAAAAGAAACCAUCACCAAGUCAACGGCUGUAUACCAUGGACCUCAGACUGUGCUAAUCUGCUGUAACAGAGACACCACAACUGGCAGCGCAGCUGCAAUUAGAGCAUGAAGAGGGGAAGUGAGGCAGAAGACGAGACCAGAAGUGCAGAUUGGUGCCAGAUUGCAAAGGGCCCUGAAGGGCUCACAAUGGGAUUGGACCAUGGCCUGAAUACGUGAGGAGUCCCCACAGGUUGUAGUAUGUUCCAUCCACUCACUCCUUUAAAACAGAAAACUGCAAGCUUCCGAAUGAACUGUCUCACUAGCUGGAGUCCGUGCUCCGUGCCGUGACGGGCUGCCCUGUUCCCGCCUUCAGGAUGGAAACGCUCAUCCUCCUGGCUAUUAAAAUGUCACAGCUGUGUCCCAGCCACCCUUAAACUUCCCUUAUUUCCGGACUAGAACGUGCUCUUCCAACCUUCCACUCCUCUGCCUUUGCUGUCCUUUCUCUGGGCUAUCUCCUCCACUUCCCAUGUCUGGAGAAAUUCUAUUCAUUCUGCAAGACUUCCUGGGAUGUUUCCUCUCCCUCGUGAUAGGAUUAACCGCUUCCUUCUGUUUCCAGAGCAUUUUGUUCACAAUGUGAGCUUAGGACUUGAACAGAUUCUGUAUGUCACGUUGUGGCUGUCAGUGUCCUUGGCUCCCCUAUGAACUGUGUACUCUGCACAUCAGUCUGGGCCAUGUGUCCUUUAUCUUCAUGUCACCAGAGGUUUCCAUACAGCCUGACACGUAAGGAAUGUUAGUGAAUUAAAUUUGUUAUUCAGUUGAAUCAGAUUCUGGUGUUAAGAAAGGAAAAUAAACUCCAGGCUGAGAUGCAC